AUGAACGCUGGCGGCGUGCUUCACACAUGCAAGUCGAACGAAGCACUUUAUUUGAUUUCCUUCGGGACUGAUUAUUUUGUGACUGAGUGGCGGACGGGUGAGUAACGCGUGGGUAACCUGCCUUGUACAGGGGGAUAACAGUUGGAAACGGCUGCUAAUACCGCAUAAGCGCACGGCAUCGCAUGAUGCAGUGUGAAAAACUCCGGUGGUAUAAGAUGGACCCGCGUUGGAUUAGCUAGUUGGUGAGGUAACGGCCCACCAAGGCGACGAUCCAUAGCCGAACUGAGAGGGUGACCGGCCACAUUGGGACUGAGACACGGCCCAAACUCCUACGGGAGGCAACAGUGGGGAAUAUUGCACAAUGGGCGAAAGCCUGAUGCAGCGACGCCGCGUGAGCGAAGAAGUAUUUCGGUAUGUAAAGCUCUAUCAGCAGGGAAGAUAAUGACGGUACCUGACGAAGAAGCACCGGCUAAAUACGUG
RNAcentral lists this ribosomal RNA (480 nucleotides) under uncultured bacterium. RNAcentral describes it as "partial 16S ribosomal RNA". It matches the Rfam family "Bacterial small subunit ribosomal RNA", at positions 29 to 507 of the family's 1533-position model. The record is from RNAcentral.